GACGAACGCUGGCGGCGUGCCUAAUACAUGCAAGUUGAGCGAUGAAGAUUGGUGCUUGCACCAAUUUGAAGAGCAGCGAACGGGUGAGUAACGCGUGGGGAAUCUGCCUUUGAGCGGGGGACAACAUUUGGAAACGAAUGCUAAUACCGCAUAACAACUUUAAACAUAAGUUUUAAGUUUGAAAGAUGCAAUUGCAUCACUCAAAGAUGAUCCCGCGUUGUAUUAGCUAGUUGGUGAGGUAAAGGCUCACCAAGGCGAUGAUACAUAGCCGACCUGAGAGGGUGAUCGGCCACAUUGGGACUGAGACACGGCCCAAACUCCUACGGGAGGCAGCAGUAGGGAAUCUUCGGCAAUAGACGAAAGUCUGACCGAGCAACGCCGCGUGAGUGAAGAAGGUUUUCGGAUCGUAAAGCUCUGUUGGUAGAGAAGAACGUUGGUGAGAGUGGAAAGCUCAUCAAGUGACGGUAACUACCCAGAAAGGGACGGCUAACUACGUG
RNAcentral lists this ribosomal RNA (497 nucleotides) under uncultured bacterium. RNAcentral's name for it is "partial 16S ribosomal RNA". It matches the Rfam family "Bacterial small subunit ribosomal RNA", at positions 28 to 507 of the family's 1533-position model. The record is from RNAcentral.